Molecule: small RNA, 125 nt
Filed under: Marmota monax (woodchuck)
Lineage: Eukaryota; Metazoa; Chordata; Mammalia; Rodentia; Sciuridae
Source: RNAcentral
GCUGGGUGAGGUGGUGUGCACCUGUAAUCCCAGUAGCUGGGCAGGCUGAGGCAGGAGGAUCUUGAGUUCAAAGCCAGCCUCAGCAAAAGUGAGGGGCUAAGCAACUCAAUGAGACCCUGUCUCUA